GACGAACGCUGGCGGCGUGCUUAACACAUGCAAGUCGAGCGGUAAGGCCCUUUCGGGGGUACGACGAGCGGCGAACGGGUGAGUAACACGUGGGUGACCUGCCCUCAGCUCUGGGAUAAGCCUGGGAAACGUGGGUCUAAUACCGGAUAUGACUCCAUGACGCAUGUUGUGGGGUGGAAAGCCUUGUGCGGCUGAGGAUGGGCCCGCGGCCUAUCAGCUUGUUGGUGGGGUGAGGCCUACCAAGGCGACGACGGGUAGCCGGCCUGAGAGGGCGACCGGCCACACUGGGACUGAGACACGGCCCAGACUCCUACGGGAGGCAGCAGUGGGGAAUCUUGCGCAAUGGGCGAAAGCCUGACGCAGCGACGCCGCGUGAGGGAUGACGG
RNAcentral lists this ribosomal RNA (386 nucleotides) under uncultured bacterium. Its description in RNAcentral is "bacterial SSU rRNA". It matches the Rfam family "Bacterial small subunit ribosomal RNA", at positions 28 to 414 of the family's 1533-position model. The record is from RNAcentral.